RNAcentral lists this ribosomal RNA (2083 nucleotides) under Campylobacter jejuni. Its description in RNAcentral is "partial 23S ribosomal RNA". It matches the Rfam family "Bacterial large subunit ribosomal RNA", at positions 1 to 2088 of the family's 2925-position model. Lineage: Bacteria; Pseudomonadati; Campylobacterota; Epsilonproteobacteria; Campylobacterales; Campylobacteraceae. The record is from RNAcentral.
AGGUAAGCUACUAAGAGCGAAUGGUGGAUGCCUUGACUGGUAAAGGCGAUGAAGGACGUACUAGACUGCGAUAAGCUACGGGGAGCUGUCAAGAAGCUUUGAUCCGUAGAUUUCCGAAUGGGGCAACCCAAUGUAUAGAGAUAUACAUUACCUAUAUAGGAGCGAACGAGGGGAAUUGAAACAUCUUAGUACCCUCAGGAAAAGAAAUCAAUAGAGAUUGCGUCAGUAGCGGCGAGCGAAAGCGCAAGAGGGCAAACCCAGUGCUUGCACUGGGGGUUGUAGGACUGCAAUGUGCAAGAGGUAAGUUUAGCAGAACAUUCUGGAAAGUAUAACCAUAGAGGGUGAUAGUCCCGUAUGCGAAAAACAAACCUUAGCUAGCAGUAUCCUGAGUAGGGCGGGACACGAGGAAUCCUGUCUGAAUCCGGGUCGACCACGAUCCAACCCUAAAUACUAAUACCAGAUCGAUAGUGCACAAGUACCGUGAGGGAAAGGUGAAAAGAACUGAGGUGAUCAGAGUGAAAUAGAACCUGAAACCAUUUGCUUACAAUCAUUCAGAGCCCUAUGUAGCAAUACAGGGUGAUGGACUGCCUUUUGCAUAAUGAGCCUGCGAGUUGUGGUGUCUGGCAAGGUUAAGCAAACGCGAAGCCGUAGCGAAAGCGAGUCUGAAUAGGGCGCUUAGUCAGAUGCUGCAGACCCGAAACGAAGUGAUCUAUCCAUGAGCAAGUUGAAGCUAGUGUAAGAACUAGUGGAGGACUGAACCCAUAGGCGUUGAAAAGCCCCGGGAUGACUUGUGGAUAGGGGUGAAAGGCCAAUCAAACUUCGUGAUAGCUGGUUCUCUCCGAAAUAUAUUUAGGUAUAGCGUUGUGUCGUAAUAUAAGGGGGUAGAGCACUGAAUGGGCUAGGGCAUACACCAAUGUACCAAACCCUAUCAAACUCCGAAUACCUUAUAUGUAAUCACAGCAGUCAGGCGGCGAGUGAUAAAAUCCGUCGUCAAGAGGGAAACAACCCAGACUACCAGCUAAGGUCCCUAAAUCUUACUUAAGUGGAAAACGAUGUGAAGUUACUUAAACAACCAGGAGGUUGGCUUAGAAGCAGCCAUCCUUUAAAGAAAGCGUAAUAGCUCACUGGUCUAGUGAUUUUGCGCGGAAAAUAUAACGGGGCUAAAGUAAGUACCGAAGCUGUAGACUUAGUUUACUAAGUGGUAGGAGAGCGUUCUAUUUGCGUCGAAGGUAUACCGGUAAGGAGUGCUGGAGCGAAUAGAAGUGAGCAUGCAGGCAUGAGUAGCGAUAAUUAAUGUGAGAAUCAUUAACGCCGUAAACCCAAGGUUUCCUACGCGAUGCUCGUCAUCGUAGGGUUAGUCGGGUCCUAAGUCGAGUCCGAAAGGGGUAGACGAUGGCAAAUUGGUUAAUAUUCCAAUACCAACAUUAGUGUGCGAUGGAAGGACGCUUAGGGCUAAGGGGGCUAGCGGAUGGAAGUGCUAGUCUAAGGUCGUAGGAGGUUGUACAGGCAAAUCCGUAUAACAAUACUCCGAGAACUGAAAGGCUUUUUGAAGUCUUCGGAUGGAUAGAAGAACCCCUGAUGCCGUCGAGCCAAGAAAAGUUUCUAAGUUUAGCUAAUGUUGCCCGUACCGUAAACCGACACAGGUGGGUGGGAUGAGUAUUCUAAGGCGCGUGGAAGAACUCUCUUUAAGGAACUCUGCAAAAUAGCACCGUAUCUUCGGUAUAAGGUGUGGUUAGCUUUGUAUUAGGAUUUACUCCGAAAGCAAGGAAACUUACAACAAAGAGUCCCUCCCGACUGUUUACCAAAAACACAGCACUCUGCUAACUCGUAAGAGGAUGUAUAGGGUGUGACGCCUGCCCGGUGCUCGAAGGUUAAUUGAUGGGGUUAGCAUUAGCGAAGCUCUUGAUCGAAGCCCGAGUAAACGGCGGCCGUAACUAUAACGGUCCUAAGGUAGCGAAAUUCCUUGUCGGUUAAAUACCGACCUGCAUGAAUGGCGUAACGAGAUGGGAGCUGUCUCAAAGAGGGAUCCAGUGAAAUUGUAGUGGAGGUGAAAAUUCCUCCUACCCGCGGCAAGACGGAAAGA